AGUGAACGCUGGCGGUAGGCCUAACACAUGCAAGUCGAACGGCAGCACAGUAAGAGCUUGCUCUUACGGGUGGCGAGUGGCGGACGGGUGAGGAAUACAUCGGAAUCUACUUUUUCGGGGGGGAUAACGUAGGGAAACUUACGCUAAUACCGCAUACGACCUACGGGUGAAAGCAGGGGAUCUUCGGACCUUGCGCGAUUGAAUGAGCCGAUGUCGGAUUAGCUAGUUGGCGGGGUAAAGGCCCACCAAGGCGACGAUCCGUAGCUGGUCUGAGAGGAUGAUCAGCCACACUGGAACUGAGACACGGUCCAGACUCCUACGGGAGGCAGCAGUGGGGAAUAUUGGACAAUGGGCGCAAGCCUGAUCCAGCCAUACCGCGUGGGUGAAGAAGGCCUUCGGGUUGUAAAGCCCUUUUGUUGGGAAAGAAAAGCAGCGGGUUAAUACCCCGCUGUUCUGACGGUACCCAAAGAAUAAGCACCGGCUAACUUCGUG
RNAcentral lists this ribosomal RNA (492 nucleotides) under uncultured bacterium. RNAcentral's name for it is "partial 16S ribosomal RNA". It matches the Rfam family "Bacterial small subunit ribosomal RNA", at positions 29 to 507 of the family's 1533-position model. The record is from RNAcentral.